RNAcentral lists this unclassified non-coding RNA (331 nucleotides) under uncultured Alphaproteobacteria bacterium. RNAcentral describes it as "contains 16S-23S intergenic spacer region". The record is from RNAcentral. Lineage: Bacteria; Pseudomonadati; Pseudomonadota; Alphaproteobacteria.
UCCGGCUUGUCACCGGCAGUUUCUUCAGAGUGCCCAACUAAAUGAUGGCAACUGAAGAUGAGGGUUGCGCUCGUUGCGGGACUUAACCCAACAUCUCACGACACGAGCUGACGACAGCCAUGCAGCACCUGUGUGGACGCCAGCCGAACUGAAGGACCUCAUCUCUGAAGCCCAUACGUCCCAUGUCAAGGGUUGGUAAGGUUCUGCGCGUUGCUUCGAAUUAAACCACAUGCUCCGCUGCUUGUGCGGGCCCCCGUCGUUAGUUAAAUCUUUAUAACGAGACCGCUGGGAUAAACCCAGAGGAAGGUGGGGAUGACGUCAGUGCUUGCCU